This 254-nucleotide ribosomal RNA is filed under the name uncultured bacterium. RNAcentral describes it as "partial 16S ribosomal RNA". It matches the Rfam family "Bacterial small subunit ribosomal RNA", at positions 524 to 776 of the family's 1533-position model. The record is from RNAcentral.
UACGUAGGGUGCGAGCGUUUGUCCGGAAUUAUUGGGCGUAAAGAGCUUGUAGGCGGUCUGUCGCGUCUGCUGUGAAAAUCCGGGGCUCAACCCCGGACUUGCAGUGGGUACGGGCAGACUAGAGUGUGGUAGGGGAGACUGGAAUUCCCGGUGUAGCGGUGAAAUGCGCAGAUAUCGGGAAGAACACCCGUGGCGAAGGCGGCUCUCUGGGACGGUACUGACGCUGAGACGCGAAAGCGUGGGGAGCGAACAGG